UUCGGACUGCAGCCUGCAACCCGGCUGCACGAAGCCGAAUCGCUAGUAAUCGCAGAUCAGAAUGCUGCGGUGAAUACGUUCCCGGGUCUUGUACACACCGCCCGUCACACCAUGGGAGUCGGAAAUGCCCGAAGUCAGUGGCCCAACCGGAAGGAGGGAGCUGCCGAAGGCAGGUCCGGUGACUGGGGUGAAGUCGUAACAAGGUACC
This 208-nucleotide ribosomal RNA is filed under the name uncultured bacterium. Its description in RNAcentral is "partial 16S ribosomal RNA". It matches the Rfam family "Bacterial small subunit ribosomal RNA", at positions 1292 to 1500 of the family's 1533-position model. The record is from RNAcentral.